AGAGAGAGAGAGAAAGAGAGAGAGAGAGAGAGAGAGAGAGAGAGAGUGAUUACGCGACUCACGGUUGUAAUAUACUGUAAGUGAGCGUCGCGAUCGAGACUUGAACGAUGAUCGUGUUGCCGGUGCGCGUUUCAUAGGGGAAAAAAAUAGCGAGAAAAUGUGAGUGAAAGAGAGAAUGAGAGAGAGAGAGAGAGAGAGAGAGAGAGAGAGAGAGAGCGAAAGAGAGUGUGUGAGUGAGAGAGAGAGAGAGAGAGAGAGAGAGAGAGAGAGCCGCACGAAGAGGGGUGAUAGUAAUAACGAAAGUUUAAGGGGUAUGAAAGAUCCUUUUCUCUUCUCUCUCCUCUUCACACACGCAUACCUACGCUCGUGCGCGCACGUAAGCACACACACAGAUAUACGUAACACACAUACACCUGUCCUCGUUCUAAGGAUUAUUAACGAAAAAGGUACAUGAUUACGUAUACAUCCACAAACCCCAUACACGUUAACAUACAAACACAUGUCAUACACGGACACAUAUAUACAUACAUACAUAUAUACAUACAUACGUACAUACGUACAUACGUACACAGGACAAACAUAAACAUACAGUUUAUUAUAAUAUAUUGUGUAUAAAUAGUUAAUUGAAUUGCGAAUCGAAGUGAUGUAAGAAGAAGGGACAAAUAAGCCGAGCAUAAUUCGAUUGGGCUAGCCGUCCUAAGGACAGACGGAAAAUAUGAACGAGCUUACGAGAGAGAUUAAAAGAGAGAGAUAGAGAGAGAGAGAGAGAGAGAGAGAGAGAGAGAGAGAGAGAGAGAGAGAGAGAGAGAUAGAGAGAAAAAGAGAAAGAUUGAGAGAGAAAUAGAGAGAGAAAGAGAGAAAGGAAGAGAGAAACGAAAGUAUAUGAUAAGAAAAGUAUCGUUUCUUUUUUUUUAAACGCGUGAGGCCAUCUCUAUUAUGCCGAGAUAUGCGAUUUCUUUCAAAAUUUCCUAGCGAUCUCUCUCGAGUGUUUAAUGAAUCGAUAUAUAGUUGAUUAGACAACGAGUUCGCGAACGUCGUAUAAAGGGGGUGGGGGUUUGAGGAGGAAGGGAAAGUAAAAAAAAGAAAAACACAAGGGAAGCAAAAAGAAAAAAAAAAGGAAAAAGAAAAAACAAAGAAAAAGAAAAAAAAAGAAGAAGAAGAAGAAGAAGAAAAGACGAAUAGAUGCGAAGAAUUUUUCACGCUUUUAAUCCUUAUUCUUUCCUUUGACCGAGAGAAUUAUUAAUAUUCAUGGCACUUUAGAUUUUCUCAUUCCAAUUCCUUUUUCUUCCGUUUUGUUUAGAGAAAAUGGACGAUGAAAAAAAAGUCUCCCCGAGGAAGAUCGCUAAAAAAAAAAAAAAGAAAAAAAAAAGAAAAAAAAAUGAACGAGCGAUUUUUUAAUGCCUGCCCCUUUUGGCACGACUGGUGGUGGUCUCCUUUAAUGUUUCUAAACCGAUCGCUCCUCCAUCUCCACCUCCACCCUCCCACCCCCACCCCUUUGGCCCAUCGUCUCCUUUCCCUUACCAUUACCUUUAACCUUACCUUUAAUCCUUUCGUCGUCGCUUCUAAUUUUAUUUUCUCGAAAACGUUCACGUUUUCUUGAUAAUUUCAAAAUAUUCCCAGAUUUAUUUUGGGGUCUAAUAGAUGCAGCACACGUCGUCCAUUAGUAAGAAGCAUCAACACACACAUUUACAAAACACAUAAGAAUGACGUUUAUUAAAUUAGAUAUAAAAAUAUCGAGAGAGAGAGAGAGAGAGAGAGAGAGAGAAAGAAAGAGAGAGAGCAUCGCACAAUCACCUUCCUUAGAGCCUGUAUUUAUAUCUCUUCCAAUAUCGCUUUGUCUCUUUGUAACACGACGAUCGGAGAUGUCUAUAUUUAUGUACGAAUCUUAUCGUGCGAGCGCACGCGCGCACGCUCAUCCUUGAUAUACGUAAACGAAAGAAAAGAAUAAAAGGAGAAGAAGAAGAAAAAAAAAAAAGAAUAGAGAGACAGAGACAGAGUGAGAGAGAGAGAGAAAGAGAGUAAAAUAAUAUAGAAGGAGAAUGGAACAAUAAGGACGUUUGAAGAAGAAAACGGUCGUUAAUAGUAUAAACAUUUCUUAUCAUUAUCGAAAAAUAAUGAUGAAUUUUUCGAGGAAUACUCUUUAAUCGACGAUACGUUUUGUCAUGUAUACGAAAUCCAAUAGAUAAACAAAACUGAAUAAAGUAAAAUUAAAUAAAAAAGAAAGAGAGAAAGAGAGAGAGAGAGAGAGAGAGAGAGAGAGAGAGAGAAAGAUAGAGAAAGAGAGAGAGAGAGAGAGAGAAAAAGAAAGAAGAGAAAAGGAAUUUUUAAUUAAAUCGACCGUCGAGAUCAUCACGCGAAAUAGAUAUCGGAGAGACACGGUGAAGGAUGCUUUUUUUCUCUCUCAAUCUUUUUCUCUUUCUCUAUUUCUUCCUCUUUUUCUCUCUCUCUCUCUCUCUCUCUCUCUCUCUCUCUUUCCUUCUCUUUCUGUUUCUCUCUUUCUCUCUCUUUCUUUCUCUAGAGCGGGCGAAUUUUCGUUUCGACGAUCGCGAACGAUGCGAUGCUCGACGCGACUCGUACCGAAUUGUCCAUGGCUAUCGAUCGCGUUCGUCCGAAUCGACGAGAAGAGGACCGUGAGGGAACGGAGAGACGGAGAAUUCGAGAAAGAGAGAAACAAAAUGAGAAAAAAAAAAAAAAAGAAAUAAUAAAAAAACAAAAGUUUACCGAUAUUUUCAAUACGCCCCGCAUACAUAUACAUACGUACGUACGCACACACAAAGGACACGCAUUAUUGUAUAAAGAGAAGAGAAGUAGUAAACAAGAGAAAGAGAAAGAGAAAGAGAAAGAGAGAGAGAGAGAGAGAGAGAGAGAGAGAGAGAGAGAGAAAGAGUGAGAGAAAAAAAAACGUAUGCGUGGGAAUGAACGCAUUUUGAGAAGACAGAAAUUUGGCGGCCCUUGUAUUUGUGUGUAUCGCGUGAUUGCCAUUGAGAAAGAUCCGAGAGUAAGCGAGAGUGUGAGAGGUGAAAUAAUGUAUAAUUAUUGUAUAAUCACGGACGAUGAUGAUAACGACUACGGCCGUCGGCGAUAACGACGAUGAUCGUAAUGAUGACGAUAACGACGUAUACGCGUGCGUCGUCGGCGAAGAUCACACGGCUUCGUUUAUUAUUAUGAUCGCGAGUGUUGAACGAUUAUGAUAACGACGAUUACGACGACGACGUAGACGACGACGACGACGACGACAAAGACGACGAUAUGGAUGAUGAUUAUGAUGAUGUAAGUUAAAAAUUUAUUCUAUAUCGGUAUGGAAAUUCAGAUUUUUUCAACUGUUUUGCGUAUUGAUGACCCAUUGACACCCUUAAAAAGUUAAGAAAAAAAAAAAAGAAA
Molecule: long non-coding RNA, 3381 nt
Organism: Vespa mandarinia (Asian giant hornet)
Lineage: Eukaryota; Metazoa; Arthropoda; Insecta; Hymenoptera; Vespidae
Source: RefSeq, a predicted model, not a curated record